CCUACGGGUGGCAGCAGUGAGGAAUAUUGGUCAAUGGCCGGAAGGCUGAACCAGCCAAGCCGCGUGAAGGACGAAGGUGCCAAGCAUUGUAAACUUCUUUUGUCAAGGGACAAAAUCAGGCUCGAGAGCCUGACCGAGGGUACUUGAAGAAAAAGCAUCGGCUAACUCCGUGCCAGCAGCCGCGGUAAUACGGAAGGUCCGGGCGUUAUCCGGAUUUAUUGGGUUUAAAGGGAGCGUAGGUGGGUCGUUAAGCGUGCCGUGAAAUUUUGUGGCUCAACCAUGAGAGUGCGGCGCGAACUGGAGACCUUGAGUGCGCGGAAGGAAGGCGGAAUUCGUGGUGUAGCGGUGAAAUGCUUAGAUAUCACGAAGAACCCCGAUUGCGAAGGCAGCUUACUAAACUGUGACUGACAUUGAUGCUCGAAAGUGUGGGUAUCAAACAGGAUUAGAUACCCGUGUAGUC
This 460-nucleotide ribosomal RNA is filed under the name uncultured bacterium. Its description in RNAcentral is "partial 16S ribosomal RNA". It matches the Rfam family "Bacterial small subunit ribosomal RNA", at positions 338 to 795 of the family's 1533-position model. The record is from RNAcentral.